GAUAAGUGUUACUUAUCAAAUUAAUUGUUUUGAUAAUCAGUUACUCUUGGUUCCUCAGCCUCUUGAAGCUGCACAGUACUCGUCAAGUUCUUGUGGAGGGCUCAAAUCAGGGGGGUCAGAACUGACAACAGGAGGAUGGUCCAAGCAGCCUGAAGCCCAGUGCUGGGGAUCGUCUGCUCAGUGCAGGUUUUUUGGAGAUUCUCUGAAGAGUAUGUUGAGUGUUGAAAAAUAGUGGUGAGUGAACCAAAAGAUUAUUUAGGUUUGUUUUUCUUCACCUUCAUGACAAGAAUAAGACUUUCCCAUCAGUUGUGGACAUGGAUACUCAAGCUCAUGAUCCGCUGAAAUAUUUGCGUGCCUCAUUAAGAAGGUGAUGAUGGUGUGCUGUAUUGCCAUUUUCACAGUCUACUCGCUACUUCUAACAUAGGAGUUGAAAGUUAUUACCUGAAGAUUGUUUCUGAACAACUAAAGGAUUAAGGCUGUUUCUGUUCUAGUGAGCAAAACCCUGUCCUUCACUUCCACGGAGCUGAAUGAACAAAGAUCUCUUCCCUUCUAGUGUCAGCCAUCUCACCCAACAUUUGAUUCCUGAGAUUACUUCUCCUACAGAAGGACCCUACUGUUUCAUCAGAACUCAAAAACAAAGUAACAGAAGUCAGCAUUAGUUUCCUUGAAGAAAUGUCUUCAGUGCCAGCCCUUCAUCCAGCUUUUUGCACUCUGUUUUAAAAUGAGAAAAAACUUUGCAAUCGGAUGCAGCUGGUGUUCUUCACUGAUACCUUCCUCAUUUUCAGAAGAUUAAGUUCUUCAGUAUGUCAUAUUGGAAUUCCUGGCCUAUAAAGUAUCUGCAUGCAUUGCCCUGUCAACCUUGGCGUGUAUGCAGCAGGAAACCAGGACAUACUUUCUGCUCUGUUAUGAGGAAUAAACUUGCCAAGCAACUGGAGAAGUCCCACACAUAACAGGUAUUUUGUAGUUCAGGAUCCUGACUUGACUCUGUAGAUAAAUAUCUUGAUGUUAACUCACACAAAGCAGCUAAUGCACAGGAACAAAUGCAGAAUCACCUUGUCUGUGGUGUGUAACAGCGUCAUCCCAAUCUGUGAUCAAAAUGUAUAUUUGCAUGUAUAAACCCACAUAAGUUCUGGCUAUGAAGAACUUUGAGCAGAAGAAGAAAUUACUCUGCACCACUUCAUUUUUAGCAAAGAAAAAUGAAGCUUUAAAGACCUCUAAGGUUACAAGAUAAUGAUUAAGUUCACAUUAAUCAUUCCCUCCUUUGGGCUUUUUAUGGAUCCUCAGCAGCAAAAGGAACAAAACCAUUCUACAGUUGAAAAGAUGUGACAGAACUUCUUUCUUUAUUAAAGAAAUUAACUUCUGGUGAGAUGGAGGAGACCUGAGGUAUAAAGCUGCAGCUUACGCCCUGCAGCUUCCAUGACACAGAUUCAGCUUUUUCAUAGCGCUGAUGGAAUCCGAUUUUUGAUUCUUUUGUGACUGAGAACUGAGAUGAUUUGUAUGUUUCCAUCGUCUCCGCCCAGAAUGAGCUCAGCCAUGUAAGAGGUACGAGUUGAGAGAGAGUAAAAAUGCUUAGGGUUGGGACUUUUUCUGGUGGUUCUUAUUCCUUCCCAAAUUAAGGCGCUAUCUGUUGUUCUUAUGUUUACACAGGGUUCUCUGUCUCCAUUGUUUGUGAUUAUAUAAGAUAUUUUCAAUCAUUUUCAGGUGGGAUCUUAUACUGUUCACAUGCUCCUUGCUAUGGUAUUAUAUAUGGCAAGUAAGAUUUCUUGGCAAAAACUAAUCUCCAUUUCAAGUCUGGAUCUCUUAGUGCACCUUAAUCCAAACUUGCAAUUUACAAAAUGAUUUAGCUUAAAAUAUUUUUAAAUUUGGAUCAAAUAAGGGAUAUAUGUUCUAGCACUAUGUUUUGGGGAAUAACGGCAUGGUUAGGUGGUGGGGUGUUUGUUUUGUUUUGUUUUUUUUUUGUUUCAGAAAACUACUGGAGAGAGCCAGACAGCCUGAAAAUGGCUGGAAGAGCCAACAGUUGAAAUCUUUCUUAAAUCUUACUGAUAGAUUGCAAGGGCAGUAUUCUGAAACUUAAAACGUGGUGAAAUGUUAUGGGGACCGAGUUUCCAUAGCAGAAGGACAGAUGUUGGUACUGAUCCUGUUCCUUGGGGUAACGUUAGAUCUGUGUUUAGACUUGCAUUGUAACAAUAAGAUUUAAUGAAAGCCCUUCCCGUUUGUUUUGGUCUGAUCUUCAUGGAGACAUGCAAGCUAAGCAGGGUGGUUAAGACACUGCGUAUCAAAAUUAUGCCCACUGUAACAAGUAGAGGUGCACUUAAAUUAUAUGCAAUAUUGUGAUGAACUGUGUUCCUUUUAUUAGUUUAGAUGAGUUAUAUUAAUCCUGUUGAGGCAACCACCAACUUGGCUUGAUUUAUUUUAAGAAUAUGGGAUUUCUUUGCUGAAUGUGAUCUGAAUUUUCUGGUACGAGAUGCGUCUAGAGAAGCACGCUUUUCAUUUAGAACCUCCUUAUGUUGAAACCAAUAGGAAUCAUCUAGCAUAGUAGAUGUCUGUAGAAGCAGGAUCCAUCUCUAUCUGAUGGAAAAUACUAUUAAUAUCUUAGGAUUAUGUGUUGGAAGGUGUCUAGUAUAGGAAUCAUCUGAUCUUGAAUCUUGGCAUUUCCUUUACUUCCUUCUGCCCAUGCUUGUCUUUCUGACAUUAGAGCUAGCAGUUGAUUUCUUGCAUAGCUUGAUAACAAAAUACUUGAGGGACAGGAAUGUACUUUUCCUCUUCUGUGGAUAUGAACAAAAACUUAAAGACCUUUCUGACUAGAGAGUAGACGCUUUCAGCCCUUUGGUUGCCACUUGUGUAAGAAUAACCCUCAACAUUUUGUAACCCUGCGUUGUAACAAAAAAAAUAGAACUGACUUCUAACCCCGGCAAUGGAACAACGUUAGUUUUCAAGUUGUAGCUUAGAACAUAACGUUUUUAGCGGGGCUGAAGAUCUGUGGCUUUCGCAGAAGUAAUACUCCAAUAAUGCGUGCCCAGAAGACCCCACUGCCAUACCUUUCCAGCGGCUUCCUAUAAAACCGCUGUUAGGAAAUGCUGCCUCAGCCUACUUACUUUUUCUUGCUCCACUUUUUCUCUGUGUUGGUUGGAAAUCUUCCUGUGUGAAAGAUGACAGAAACAAGGGGCAUGUGCAAUAGAUCAUAUAUAUAUACAUAUAUAUAUUUUAAUACUUGUGGACAAAAUGAUGUUACAAGUUGUUUGAAAACAACAAAAUCACCAAUGUCUUCCAUUUUGAGAUGUGUAUAGUUCCAUAAGCAUUAGUGCUUUGUAGCAAACAGUAGUGCCAUGUUAGGAUCAGUGCAUGAGCCUAGUAGUAUUUUUACAAUUUCAGAGUGACAAAUUUAUUAAUAAACCGUGAUGAUAAUGUAAUUAACAAUAGAAAGGAUACAGUAGAAAUGUCACAAACAUGGUCUAAGUAUGCAGUAUCCUCCCUUUGGCAAUGAUAAUGCUAUCUUUAGGAAUAGAACGGGCUUCAUAGAAUCAUUAAUGUUUUGUUUUCAGCGUAUCUUUGUAGUGUAUGUAAGCAUCCAGAAUUCUCAUCUCUGUCACAGGUUAUUCUUUUCUUUUUAGUCUUUGUUGAAGGUGUUUUCUUCUAUGAGCAGCAUUUUCAGUUUUAUUACUACCCAUCGUAUGAUAUUAUCAGAAUUAUGAAUAUGCUGAAGAGUUAGUGUGCAUUUUGUGCACCUCUCUGCUACCUUAAUAUUAUUUAGAAAAUCUGUUAAGUUAAAAACAUACAUACAUUUCAAAUCUGAUUAUGUAAUUGUAAUAACCAGUUAAACAUUACUUUCACUUAUUUAGUAACUAGCUGCGAAAUGCUAUCUGCCAAUCUUACAUAAAGACUUAAUUCCUAUAAUAAUGGUUAGGUUUUUUUUUCUGAAGUCCUAUUGAAUCUUUUAACACCUUUGGUGGAUCCUGCAUUUACACACAUCUUAAUAAGAGAGAAUAUAAUAAGGUUAAGGGCUGUUGAAAAACAACAUUGCAGCCUGUAUCUGUUCAGCAGGCAAUAUCUAGCCUACAGAUCAUAGAUUCCCCACCUCUGUACUAUUGAGGAUUCAGUAUCUUGUAUUUUGGGUAACUUCCAGCAUUGCUUUCCAGCUAAUCUCAAUUUUAAUAACUUACGUCUCUCCCUCUGCUUUUUUCAGAAGGAAAACUUAAACUGGGGGAAGUUGAAAUGAUUUAGCACUCAGUGGGCAGCUUGGGCUGGUCAAAUAGGAGAUUGGUAUGAUUCCUGAGGUGUGUAGUGCUCUGUGGAUGGCAUCCUCUGACUUCCUUGGGAAAAAAACUCUUUUAUUUGGUGCCAGUGUUGCUCUUCACUCACUUCUCUCUUUACAAGAACAAAGUUCUCUCGUCAGUUUAGAGAGGAUACUGCAUCUUAUUUUUCCUGAGACAUGCCUCUAAAUGGCCAUUAGGAGGAGGGAUGGAAUGGGUGGCUCGGUUUUGUAAUUUUAAUAGGAUAUAUCUCUAAAGUAAUUAAUCAAGUAGCAUGUUCUUUGGUGCAAAACCAGUAAUCCUUGCAGAGUUAGUGUAGAUAACAGCGUCCCCCCACCUCUCUGCAUCUAAUGCGUUGCCAAGAAAAUUGGGUGGUUGGGCCAUUUACAGCAGAGCUCUGGGGGACUUGUGCUCAUUUAGGUUCAAUUCUGAACAGAAGUAGCUGUACCAUUGAAUAAAGUAGUUUAGUGCUUGGGAGAAUCAAUUGAAAAAUACCUCUGAAACUGGAAUGCAAAAUAGCACAGUAUGUAGGGGGAAGAAUCCCUGAUGCAAACAAAGCCAUAAGAUGAUUUAAUAAGAAAAUAGAACUUUAGUAGCAAUAACUGUUUUGCAUGUGAUAGUAAAUAACUUGCAUUAGCAAGGCUGUACAGUAGAGUAGGUGGGUAAUAACCAAAUAAGUUUGUGGCGCUCUGUGCUACAGGGAGUUGGGUGAAAGUCUCUUUUCCUAAGAUGGGUGAAUUCCUCUUAGUGUUCCUCUCGUUGGAGGGAAUUUGGUUGGCACUUGAAUACUUAGUUAAUUAACCUUAUACUACUCUUGAGCUGUGUCACAUAUCUGAAGCACUGUCAGUGAGUGCUGGGGAAGGGCAGGCAGUUCUUUCUGAAAUAUUCUCUCAGAUAGCUGAAGUUUCCCCGUUUCUUUUUCUUUUUCACAGUCUUACACUUGCUCUGCUUCUCUAAAGGGAAAUGAGACCCUUCCAAAUACUGGACUGCGGAAGGAAACUGUUUCUGAAAUUAGAAUUUUACUGUAGGUACUUCUUUUUAAAAAGACCAAUCUUGAUAUGAAUGACGGGUCUUAAAAAAUAAAAUAGAGAGUAUUUGUACAUCCCAAAGGAGAUUUUUAGGAUCCUAAAAAUGUUACUUUACAGCAAAAAUAAUUUUAGACUUGCUAAACAUUCUGUUCCAGACCAUUGAUUUCUGUUAGUGCUUGAAGUCUUGCUGAGGCAAGCACCGUGAAGCCUUUGGUUACAGAAAGGGAUAUUGAUCUACAGCCGUAGCCUCUGCACCCAGCAAGACAUUUGCUGUCAAAGGGUUACAUAAAAGAGCCACAGGAGUUCCAAAGCAUCCAUAGCUGACUCUGAUUUCAGUGCAGAUACGGAAGUCUGUGGAGACUAUAUGGCCCACAGAUGGUACUGUAUUCUGAACAGAAUUAUUGCGUCAGAAGCUUAGAUCUAUCUGGCUGGAUUUCUUCUAGAAAGCUGAAGUAAUUUGGAAUGCAAUUGCCAGCUGAAGGGAGGCUUUGAAUGUUCUGAGGUGACAUAGGGUGAAGCCUUUUGGCUCUUCAUAAGUUGGUAGUUGGGGUUGUUAAGGGCUGUGAAUGUUCUUAUGGUAUAAAGUAACCAAAAUACCCAUAAACACGUCUAAAUGGGUUCAAACAAUGUGCAUGAAAAGCUAACUGAUUGGGGAAGCUACAAUCAGCUUAAAUUCCAGCUAGUGAAUUAUUGAUAAAACUGGGAGCUUUGGGAUCCAACUACAUUAAAAAAAUCACAGAUUUCAUGUGAUUGGCAAAUAUGUUUACAUGACAACAAAUUAAUAAUGAAAACAUGGUCAUGUUUAAACUUCAUGCUUCUGAACUUUGUGGCAGAACAGAAAUUUUCAAGGUCUCAUUAAUUUAGAGGAGGGGAGGAAAUCAAGACUUGUAGCUAGGCAAGCUAUCUGCAUAUUCUUCUCAGUUCAGACGUCAGUAUAUACUAUCCUGGAAAUCAGUUUUCACAGCUGCGAAGGAAAUUCCAUUGCCUUUCAGUUGCUGUGUUACGGCAUGAUUUUUGUUCCAAACUAAACUCCUUGGUUUCGCUGCUUCUAAAACUAAGUAGCAGUGUUGUAUGCUACGACACUGUGGGAUAUGAAAAGUGUAGUGCCCACCACUGACAUCAUUACGGAGACCACCCAUUUAGCGGUAGUAACCCCAGAAGCUCCAUGUAAAUCCCGUUCCUUACCCAGUGGUGCUGCUGCAGUAGGUCUAGCCAGUGCUUGUGUUGGGAGCUGCAACUUGACAAAUGGCACCUUCUGCAGCUGAGCGUAAUUGUCAAACGUAGGGCAAAAAUAAAAGGCUUGCAAAGGCUACUUGAUAGUGAGUGAGAACAAACUGCAGUGUGCUUUAGGGCGCUGACAUGUUAUACGAGGGUUAUGUUAACAAGAGCUGGCAGUAUGUUUUUGAGCAGAAAAUGGAAAAGUAUGGAAGAGAAUGUUUUUUGAUGGAUUACCAGAAAUAGAAAUAACUGCGUCUCUAGUAAGGAGUCUGGUCUUCCUUCAGAGCUUAAUCCAGCUUGCUGUUCGGGUACAGAGCUGCAUAAUGGCAGUUCAAGUUGGAUUCCAUUGCUUUUCUUUUACUGAACAAUCCAGCAUAUUGCCCCUGUAGCACUUUGUUUGGCACACAAAAGCCAGCAGUCAAACCAGGGUGUCUCAUUUGACAGUGCAGAACACUACCAUAAUUUGUUCCCUUUCAUUCUGCUCUGCACUUUCUCCUGAGUUUCCAGAAUGUGUAGGUGUACUUGACAUAAGCAAGGAGUGUGUCUCUGUCUCUGAGCCUACGUACCAGGUUGUAAUGUAGACAGAUUUCCCAAGGCUUUACGACAUCUGAGGUUCAGGAUAAAAGGUAACUUACUGUUUAGCGUGUCCCGUGUAAGUCUUGUCUGCUUCUCCUCUUCCCCUCCAAAUGAGCACGUUUGCAGGUCAAAUAAAAGGCGUCUGGUUUGUGAUGCCUUAGGCAUGAAGAACUGCAUGGAGAAACUGAAGGAAAAUGGCACAGGCCCACAAACCAAAUCUUAGAGCUAGUAUUCUAAUUAUGCAUGAUUCACAAUGUCUAGUGUAAUGUAGUUAUUACCAGUAAAUGGAGAUAUGCAUUUAUACAUAAUGAAGCAAUAGGAAAUUAUAUACCAAUAGCUUGAACUUCCUGCUUUGAUUCUCAAAUUUUGGGAUUGUUUUGUUUUUGUUUUUAGAGAAUGUGCUGCCUCUGUAGAGAAGGAGGCAGAAUGUAUAGAUAGGGUCAGAAGCAUGGCACCAAAACUGUAAAUCAGGAACCAGGAUCAGCAGAACUCGCCUUCAUAACCUCUUGUCUGGUUCGUAUUAGUGCCCUGAGCAUGUAUAAAGCAGGGCAUGAACUAAGCAUGUUUAGGGGCGAGAUGAGGUUUCUCACCUGCUGCAGCUGUAGCAAAGAAAAGGGUGCAGAGUUUCUUACAUGGUGCAGGGGGGAGCAACUGGUGGAAAAAAGGGAACAAUGGUAACAGAAGCAACAGACUCAAAAUGAGUGUAGUAUUUGCCAGACGGUAGGUAAUAAGCUUGUCUGUGGUGAGAGAAAUUAUUUGGAGAAGACUGAAAUUAAUAAGCACAGUACAUAUAUUUCAGGUGUUGAAUAGCUUUUUAAUAGACAGUAUUUUCAGGUAACUCUCUAGCCACAUAGGCAGCUGUACUGAAGCAUACUGGUACCAGCCAGCAAUAAUGGCAUCUGCAGGAACGAACCUGAAAAUACUGGUAAUCUUGUAUAUUUUUUAAGUUCUUUGAAAAGGAGAUUUUUAAAAUCAGAAAAUGAGAUUUGAUCACUGAAGGUCUUUAUCUUCUGCAACACGGGUUGCAAUAUAAUCUUUUUUUUUCUUUAUUUCACUUAUUAAAUAAAAGGGAACUUGGGUGCCAUCUUUCUGUAAACUUUUAUUCUGCUUUCUGUAAUAUCUCCCAAGUCCUUUAGUGAAUAAUGCAGUGGAUUUCUGCUGGUGGUUUGAAAAUAACGUAGAACGUGGCACAGUCCAUGUCACCAACGCUUUUCCUAUUUUCAAGUAGAAUACUAGCGUGUUACUGCAGAAUUCCAUACUUGUAGCUUAGCUUAAUUUUGCAGGUGGGCUUAACUUGUGCAGAAAACUUCUCUGUGUACAGGGGCUCGGUCCUCUUUCUGAAGCAGAAAGGGGUGGUGUCUCGGAGGAAGGAAUUGUGUCAAGUUAACUCCUGGUCAUGCUUUGUAGCCAACCAUCCAUAAAGCUCCAUGAUUUGGGUUUAGAAUGGGGCCAUGUUUUUCUCACAAAUGCUUUCUAGAUAUACAAGAAUUGCCAAAUAAAUAUAGGAAUAUUAUAAGAGAAGAUUUAACUAUUUUACUGUACCGAAGUUAGAUUAAAUGAAAUCCUUCGAGCCAACUUCUUCAAGACAAAAUGGAAUUGGUAAAACAAGUUUAGCCCAGCAGUUAACUGUGACCACCUAAUGCUGAGUUGGGUAUUUUUUUAGAACAUUUCACAUGGUUUUAAACUGUUAUGUGUGUUUUCUUUUGUGUGAUGAGUAAGCACUUGGAUCCAUUGUUCGUGCUUAUCCUCUCCAAUAGAAAACCCGGGGAGUAAGCUACUUUAGGACUUCAGUGAAGUUAUCUUCCUUUUGAGAAACAUGAUCUAACAGCGAAGGAGAAGUAGUAAUUACAGAUUGUUUGAAAAUAGCUCAAUACUUACAAACCAGGUUGGAGAAGACUUCUUACACUGAACUUCUGAUGGCAUUACUCACGUGGGUUAGUGGAGACAAUUACCGGUGUCGCUAGGAUCUGUGUGCUCGCAUUGCACGUGUUUUACAUGGUAACAGUAAAAGAAUGUUUCCCUGCAAAUUCUGAUGUUUUUUCCAAAAGGCAGCUUGCUUUUAUAUCUAUGCAUCUUUGAGGAUUUCAAGAUAAGAUUUUAUUCUUUUGACGCUGUAAAGAGGAACUGUUUAAAAAUGAACUUGGAAACUCUGCACCUGUAUACAAAUUUUUUUAGCAAUAAAGCAGCACAGGCUGAGAAUGCACUGAG
Molecule: long non-coding RNA, 9280 nt
Organism: Gallus gallus (chicken)
Lineage: Eukaryota; Metazoa; Chordata; Aves; Galliformes; Phasianidae
Gene: OIP5-AS1
Product: OIP5 antisense RNA 1
Source: Ensembl